Molecule: ribosomal RNA, 480 nt
Filed under: Abiotrophia defectiva
Lineage: Bacteria; Bacillati; Bacillota; Bacilli; Lactobacillales; Aerococcaceae
Description: bacterial SSU rRNA
Rfam family: Bacterial small subunit ribosomal RNA
Source: RNAcentral
GACGAACGCUGGCGGCGUGCCUAAUACAUGCAAGUCGAACGAACCGCGACCGAGUGCUUGCACUUGGUCAAGGUGAGUGGCGAACGGGUGAGUAACACGUGGGUAACCUACCUCAUAGUGGGGGAUAACAGUCGGAAACGACUGCUAAUACCGCAUAGGACAUGGAAUCACAUGAUUCUGUGAGGAAAGGUGGCGCAAGCUAUCGCUAAGAGAUGGACCCGCGGUGCAUUAGCUAGUUGGUAGGGUAACGGCCUACCAAGGCGAUGAUGCAUAGCCGACCUGAGAGGGUGAUCGGCCACAUUGGGACUGAGACACGGCCCAAACUCCUACGGGAGGCAGCAGUAGGGAAUCUUCCGCAAUGGACGCAAGUCUGACGGAGCAACGCCGCGUGAGUGAAGAAGGUCUUCGGAUCGUAAAGCUCUGUUGUUAGAGAAGAACAGCGCAUAGAGUAACUGUUAUGCGGGUGACGGUAUCUAACCA